GACGAACGCUGGCGGCGUGCUUAACACAUGCAAGUCGAACGGAAAGGCCCUGCUUUUGUGGGGUGCUCGAGUGGCGACCGGGUGAGUAACACGUGAGUAACCUGCCCUUGACUUUGGGAUAACUUCAGGAAACUGGGGCUAAUACCGGAUAGGAGCUCCUGCUGCAUGGUGGGGGUUGGAAAGUUUCGGCGGUUGGGGAUGGACUCGCGGCUUAUCAGCUUGUUGGUGGGGUAGUGGCUUACCAAGGCUUUGACGGGUAGCCGGCCUGAGAGGGUGACCGGCCACAUUGGGACUGAAAUACGACCCAGACUCCUACGGGAGGCAGCGGUGGGGAAUAUUGCACAAUGGGCGGAGCCCUGAUGCAGCAACGCCGCGUGCGGGAUGACGGCCUUCGGGUUGUAAACCGCUUUCGCCUGUGACGAAGCGUGAGUGACGGUAAUGGGUGAAGAAGCACCGGCUAACUACGUG
RNAcentral lists this ribosomal RNA (468 nucleotides) under uncultured bacterium. RNAcentral describes it as "partial 16S ribosomal RNA". It matches the Rfam family "Bacterial small subunit ribosomal RNA", at positions 28 to 507 of the family's 1533-position model. The record is from RNAcentral.